GAUCAUGGCUCAGGAUGAACGCUAGCGGCAGGCUUAACACAUGCAAGUCGAGGGGCAGCGGGGAGUAGCAAUACUCCGCCGGCGACCGGCGCACGGGUGCGUAACACGUAUGCAACCUACCUUUAACAGGGGCAUAACACUGAGAAAUUGGUACUAAUUCCCCAUAACAUUCGAGAAGGCAUCUUCUUGGGUUAAAAACUCCGGUGGUUAAAGAUGGGCAUGCGUUGUAUUAGCUAGUUGGUGGGGUAACGGCU
RNAcentral lists this ribosomal RNA (254 nucleotides) under uncultured bacterium. Its description in RNAcentral is "partial 16S ribosomal RNA". It matches the Rfam family "Bacterial small subunit ribosomal RNA", at positions 15 to 265 of the family's 1533-position model. The record is from RNAcentral.